UGAGAGAUGAGGAGCCAGUUUCAUUCUCCUAUAUGUGGCUAGCCAAUUAUCCCAGCACCAUUUGUUGAAAAGAGUGUCUUUUCCCCACUUUGUGUUUUUGUUUGCUUUGUCAAGGAGCCGUUGGCUGGUGGAAAACUCCUAGACCAGCCCCAGGUUUCCUGCCAUGAACUUGGAUCCGGGACCCCAACCUGCAUAUGGUGAUUUUUGCCCUUGUCGCCCUGUAGGAAUUCAACUUCCUAGGGUCCAGCGGCCCAUGGCUUUAGCCUCCAUCCAGGUACUUCUAGGCCUCUACCAUCCAGGGAUCCUGCUACCUUCAUUAAAAUCAGGGAGCCAAUUUCAAAUGCAACAUCUACUAACAUCUCUGAAAACAAAACUCCACUAAAGUGCUUUUUCAAAAAUGCUGGUGUUUCCCUCAACAGUGGAUUUCUCAAAACCUUGAAAAGAGAGUGUCUUAUAAAUCCUCAGGGAACAACAUUUGCUGGGGGGAGGGAUGGGUCAUUCCUUCUCUCUCUAAGUCUUUGCAUUUUUUCCUGUGCAUUUUACCAAUAAAUUUCUGUCAUUCCAACCAGCUUCAGCUAGUAGCAGUUUUGAAUCUACGUUUUAGUAAGCCAACUAAUUAUCAUUAAAAGUAUAUCUGAG
This 639-nucleotide long non-coding RNA is filed under the name Homo sapiens (human). RNAcentral describes it as "HSALNT0188030". The record is from RNAcentral. Lineage: Eukaryota; Metazoa; Chordata; Mammalia; Primates; Hominidae.